RNAcentral lists this small nuclear RNA (325 nucleotides) under Aotus nancymaae (Ma's night monkey). RNAcentral describes it as "7SK RNA (ENSANAG00000004222.1)". It matches the Rfam family "7SK RNA". Rfam says of the family: 7SK was discovered as an abundant small nuclear RNA in the mid-70s but a possible function has only recently been suggested. Two independent studies have found that 7SK RNA binds the CDK9/cyclin T complex (known as elongation factor P-TEFb). The record is from Rfam by way of RNAcentral. Lineage: Eukaryota; Metazoa; Chordata; Mammalia; Primates; Aotidae.
GGAUGUGAGGGCGAUCUGGCUGAGACGUCUGUUACCCCAUUGAUCACCAGGGUUGAUGCAGCUGACCUGGCUGGCUAGGCAUGUGUCCCCUUCUUCUCUCACUGCUCCAUAUGCGUCCCUCCCGAAGCUGCGUGCUGGGUGGAAGAAGACGUCCAUUCCCGAUAGAAGUCCAGCCUUCGAUCACAGGUAUAGGAGUAGUUGUGCUCCCCUGCUAGACUCUUCACACAAGCUCUCAAGAGUAGUUUAGAGCCACGGUUGACUAGGAGUGAGAACGUGGUUGCCACUUACUUGGCGGCAGGCAUGGACACGUGGCACUGCCGGCCUG